Long non-coding RNA from Gallus gallus (chicken), 1131 nucleotides. Lineage: Eukaryota; Metazoa; Chordata; Aves; Galliformes; Phasianidae. The record is from Ensembl.
UGAAAGCUAGUUAACAUCCAUAAAUGUACUUGAUGGCAUAUUUAAAGUUCAUCGAGAGAUCCACCUAUGGGAGUAAAGCCGAACCUCAGGUUAGCAAUACUGGUGCAUCUUCCAGUCAGUACCUGAGCCUCCAUCCUGUUGGAUAUCCUGAGGUGGGUUUCUUCUCCCUUCCUCUUCUGUAUGAUGACUUUUCAGGCACGAGCACCCGAAAACAAGUAGGCCUCUCAUAUGUCAGGCUCUGCUUGGCUAUCAUGGGAUAGCUCAGGGUCUCUCUUUCUCAUUUAUAUGCUGACAAGUACUAUCUGGAUAUCUGUAACAGUUGUUGGUUGUAACUGAUCAGUAUUUUCUGACAUUUUUUUUUCCCCAGAAGUCCCAUAUUAAAGCAAUAACCAAAUGAUCUCUACCUAAGCGAGCCUCUGUUGCCACUAGCAGUUCUGCUAGUGCUACAAUCAAUACAGACUUGAAGAAGCUUUUUGAUAACUAUUCAUGAUAUGUGAAGUUUUUGUUUAAAGAAAGAAAGAAAAAAAAGCAAUUUAAUGAGAGUGGUGAAGGUACAGAAUGGCCAGAAACAAAUGUCAGCGCGCUGAGAAAGAGGUCAGGACUUUUAUAAGACACCUGGUUAAUUCUUUUCUUACAAAGGCUUUAAAUCAGUUUAGCACCGUUUUGGUUCAUUCAGAGAUUAACAAAAUUUAAUAUUUUAUAAGAUUUAUUUAUAAUACCCUUGAGGUUUAGAGUAUGUUUAUGUAACCUUUCUGCCAGGAAUUGGCAGCAGCUGAAAGAGCUGGAUUCAUUUAUCUAGGGGUUCUCUCUGAAAACUUAAACAACAGCAGUUUCAGCCUCCACCCAGAAAUCUGCCAAAGCUAAAUGGCCUCCUUUGGGUGCCCUGACAAACAUAAUUCCUGCUCAAGGCAGAGCAGGGAUUCAAAACAAGGUCCAGAGUUUCGAGACAAAGAGAACUUUAGAGACGAGGGAAAGAACAGAGGAAGAGGGAAGAAUAAAGACUCAGCAUAAACCCGCAAGAGCCACUAAUCAAUAAAAUAAAUAAGGCUGGGGUGAGAUUCCCAGGCUUCCUUUCCUCCUCUCCCCUGUGUUGUCUUGCCAUGACACAAAAUAAAGGCUUGCUCUCAUUUC